AUUAAGUGUACUAGAAGUACAUUGGUAAUAAAUAUAUGCUUUAUUACAUUUUUAAGAAAUAUGCUAAACUUAAGAAUAUUUUUAAUGUAUUUAUAUUAAGUGUACUAAAAGUAUGCUGGUAAUAAAUAUAUGCAUAAUUACACUUUUAAGAAAUAUGCUAAACACAAAUGUACUUCUAGUGAAGUUUUAGUAUAUUUGGAUAAAACAUACUUUUUUCAAAACAUGAUUCAUUAAUUGUAAUAAGCUAACAUUGAACUUUCCUCAAGCCUUUCAACAUUAUAUCAUUCCGAUUGCACAAUAAGCUAUUUUUUCAAAGAUUUGCUUAAAAUCUUACUUGUUUAAUUUCAAAAUCUUACUUGUUUAAUUUCAAACAACACACAUGACACACGUGACUAAACCUGAUUGGUUGUUGUCAUAGUAACACGUCACGGUGCUAUUUGAAACUUGUUCAGUUAGGUCAGUUGUUCACGGUGCAUGCGGUUGCUUGCAGUAAACGUAUAAACUGUUAAAUUAGAUGGCGACUCUGCAUUAAACGUAUUUAUUUAAUUAAUCGGCGAUCAUAUUUCACCAGAGGACUAAGAUAAAACAACUCGAUUUAAAAUAUGAGCAGUUUUAGUGGAUCUGACGUUGAGGGAAAAAGUAUUUCGCUUUUUGUUUGGAGAUGAACGAGAUAACACGAGGCACAGCGACAUAAAUAUGACCAACCAGAUCCCAAGUAGACAGGAACAAAUGAAGAUAUAGCGCAUAGAAAGACUUAUUCUUGGUGAUCAACUGCUAUUGACAUUUUUGAAUCGGGGCAAAUGUGGAGUGAAGAAAAACGUUUGCAACACAUCCAUUCCAGGUGGCUAAUUUCUGUCCUUUUGAAUUAUUCUUGUAAAAAACGUUUUUUUUAUUGUAAAGCUGUAAGGGACUUGGCCUAGUCAUCAUUGCACCAUUUGGCAGGGCACCAGACUAACUUUUUUUACUAGGAGCACAGUGGCCCCCAACUGAAAAUUUUAGGGGCGCAACCAGAAAAUUUAGGGGCACACACGGUAAAACAACAUGCUAACCAAAUAUUCACAUGUCUACUAAUUUAGACUGUAUUACUAAUAAAUACUUUAAUUAUAGAUUCAGAAAGUACAAUGUGCUGUUUCAGAUUAGUGUCAUAUCCACUGAUCUAUAUAAAUGACUGGAUUGCACAUGACGUCACACUUGUGAAGCCACCGCGCCGCCAUGUUGGUAUACCCAAACGUUCUAUUUAAUCAAUGGACGUUAUCAGAUUUUAAUGAUAAAACAUCACUUUACUCAUCUUCGUUUUUAUAUCUGAAGUUACCCUGUACAUUAUUACAACACAAACGUCCAAAGCAUGUAAAUAGUUAUUUACUGAAAGUUGUACAUUUUGCAUUUUAAACAGUUAUUAUACAUUCAUCUUUAUUACAGUAUCAGAUCAGCAGACAGACCGCAGCAUAUUUAGUAUUAAUGACAAUAAACGUGCUCAUUCUGAAAUCUAAAUAAAUAAUCAUGCUUUGUACAGUAUGUGCAUGCAAUAAUUUGCUAGUUUUGUAAUUAUGUUAUCUUAACUUACAUGUUACCUAAACUUAUUUAGAGAUAUAAC
Paramisgurnus dabryanus is the source of this 1594-nucleotide long non-coding RNA. RefSeq lists it as uncharacterized. Lineage: Eukaryota; Metazoa; Chordata; Actinopteri; Cypriniformes; Cobitidae. The record is from RefSeq and is a predicted model, not a curated record.